UUGACGGGGCCCGCACAAGCGGUGGAGCAUGUGGUUUAAUCGAAGCAACGCGAAGAACCUUACCAGGUCUUGACAUCCCGAUGCUAUUUCUAGAGAUAGAAAGUUACUUCGGUACAUCGGUGACAGGUGGUGCAUGGUUGUCGUCAGCUCGUGUCGUGAGAUGUUGGGUUAAGUCCCGCAACGAGCGCAACCCCUAUUGUUAGUUGCCAUCAUUCAGUUGGGCACUCUAGCGAGACUGCCGGUAAUAAACCGGAGGAAGGUGGGAUGACGUCAAAUCAUCAUGCCCCUUAUGACCUGGGCUACACACGUGCUACAAUGGUUGGUACAACGAGUUGCGAGUCGGUGACGGCGAGCUAAUCUCUUAAAGCCAAUCUCAGUUCGGAUUGUAGGCUGCAACUCGCCUACAUGAAGUCGGAAUCGCUAGUAAUCGCGGAUCAGCACGCCGCGGUGAAUACGUUCCCGGGCCUU
Molecule: ribosomal RNA, 468 nt
Filed under: uncultured Streptococcus sp.
Lineage: Bacteria; Bacillati; Bacillota; Bacilli; Lactobacillales; Streptococcaceae
Description: bacterial SSU rRNA
Rfam family: Bacterial small subunit ribosomal RNA
Source: RNAcentral